AGAGUUUGAUCCUGGCUCAGGAUGAACGCUAGCGGCAGGCUUAAUACAUGCAAGUCGAGGGGCAGCAUGAGUGUAGCAAUACACUUGAUGGCGACCGGCAAACGGGUGCGGAACACGUACAGAACCUUCCUUCGAGCGGGGAAUAGCCCAGAGAAAUUUGGAUUAAUACCCCAUAGUAUUACGGAGUGGCAUCACUUUGUAAUUAAAGAUUUAUCACUUGAAGAUGGCUGUGCGGCUGAUUAGGUAGUUGGCGGGGUAACGGCCCACCAAGCCUGCGAUCAGUAACUGGUGUGAGAGCACGACCAGUCACACGGGCACUGAGACACGGGCCCGACUCCUACGGGAGGCAGCAGUAAGGAAUAUUGGUCAAUGGACGAAAGUCUGAACCAGCCAUGCCGCGUGGAGGAUGAAGGUCCUCUGGAUUGUAAACUUCUUUUAUCUGGGACGAAAAAAGGCUUUUCUAAGUCGUCUGACGGUACCAGAUGAAUAAGCACCGGCUAACUCCGUGCCAGCAGCCGCGGUAAUACGGAGGGUGCAAGCGUUAUCCGGAUUCACUGGGUUUAAAGGGUGCGUAGGUGGGUUGGUAAGUCAGUGGUGAAAUCCCCAAGCUUAACUUGGGAACUGCCAUUGAUACUAUCAGUCUUGAAUACCGUGGAGGUCAGCGGAAUAUGUCAUGUAGCGGUGAAAUGCUUAGAUAUGACAUAGAACACCAAUUGCGAAGGCAGCUGGCUACACGAAUAUUGACACUGAGGCACGAAAGCGUGGGGAUCAAACAGGAUUAGAUACCCUGGUAGUCCACGCCCUAAACUAUGGAUACUCGACAUUUGCGAUACACUGCAAGUGUCUGAGCGAAAGCAUUAAGUAUCCCACCUGGGAAGUACGAUCGCAAGAUUGAAACUCAAAGGAAUUGACGG
Molecule: ribosomal RNA, 914 nt
Filed under: uncultured bacterium
Lineage: Bacteria
Description: bacterial SSU rRNA
Rfam family: Bacterial small subunit ribosomal RNA
Source: RNAcentral